Molecule: ribosomal RNA, 395 nt
Filed under: uncultured bacterium
Lineage: Bacteria
Description: bacterial SSU rRNA
Rfam family: Bacterial small subunit ribosomal RNA
Source: RNAcentral
GUGCCAGCAGCCGCGGUAAUACGUAGGGUGCGAGCGUUAAUCGGAAUUACUGGGCGUAAAGCGUGCGCAGGCGGUUCGCCAAGUCAGGUGUGAAAUCCCCGGGCUUAACCUGGGAAUUGCGCUUGAAACUAGCGGGCUUGAGUGUGGCAGAGGGGGGUGGAAUUCCACGUGUAGCAGUGAAAUGCGUAGAGAUGUGGAGGAACACCGAUGGCGAAGGCAGCCCCCUGGGUCAACACUGACGCUCAUGCACGAAAGCGUGGGGAGCAAACAGGAUUAGAUACCCUGGUAGUCCACGCCCUAAACGAUGUCGACUAGGUGUUGGGGAAGGAGACUUCCUUAGUACCGCAGCUAACGCGUGAAGUCGACCGCCUGGGGAGUACGGUCGCAAGAUUAAA